GUUAUAUGGUCAAGUGAAGAAGCGCAUACGGUGGAUGCCUUGGCAGUCAGAGGCGAUGAAAGACGUGGUAGCCUGCGAAAAGCUUCGGGGAGUCGGCAAACAGACUUUGAUCCGGAGAUCUCUGAAUGGGGGAACCCACCUAGGAUAACCUAGGUAUCUUGUACUGAAUCCAUAGGUGCAAGAGGCGAACCAGGGGAACUGAAACAUCUAAGUACCCUGAGGAAAAGAAAUCAACCGAGAUUCCCUUAGUAGUGGCGAGCGAACGGGGAUUAGCCCUUAAGCUUCAUUGAUUUUAGCGGAACGCUCUGGAAAGUGCGGCCAUAGUGGGUGAUAGCCCCGUACGCGAAAGGAUCUUUGAAGUGAAAUCGAGUAGGACGGAGCACGAGAAACUUUGUCUGAACAUGGGGGACCAUCCUCCAAGGCUAAAUACUACUGACUGACCGAUAGUGAACCAGUACCGUGAGGGAAAGGCGAAAAGAACCCCGGAGAGGGGAGUGAAAUAGAACCUGAAACCGUAUGCGUACAAGCAGUGGGAGCCUACUUGUUAGGUGACUGCGUACCUUUUGUAUAAUGGGUCAGCGACUUAUAUUCAGUGGCAAGCUUAACCGUAUAGGGUAGGCGUAGCGAAAGCGAGUCUUAAUAGGGCGUUUAGUCGCUGGGUAUAGACCCGAAACCGGGCGAUCUAUCCAUGAGCAGGUUGAAGGUUAGGUAACACUGACUGGAGGACCGAACCCACUCCCGUUGAAAAGGUAGGGGAUGACUUGUGGAUCGGAGUGAAAGGCUAAUCAAGCUCGGAGAUAGCUGGUUCUCCUCGAAAGCUAUUUAGGUAGCGCCUCAUGUAUCACUCUGGGGGGUAGAGCACUGUUUCGGCUAGGGGGUCAUCCCGACUUACCAAACCGAUGCAAACUCCGAAUACCCAGAAGUGCCGAGCAUGGGAGACACACGGCGGGUGCUAACGUCCGUCGUGAAAAGGGAAACAACCCAGACCGCCAGCUAAGGUCCCAAAGUUGUGGUUAAGUGGUAAACGAUGUGGGAAGGCUUAGACAGCUAGGAGGUUGGCUUAGAAGCAGCCAUCCUUUAAAGAAAGCGUAAUAGCUCACUAGUCGAGUCGGCCUGCGCGGAAGAUGUAACGGGGCUCAAACCACACACCGAAGCUGCGGGUGUCACGUAAGUGACGCGGUAGAGGAGCGUUCUGUAAGCCUGUGAAGGUGAGUUGAGAAGCUUGCUGGAGGUAUCAGAAGUGCGAAUGCUGACAUGAGUAACGACAAUGGGUGUGAAAAACACCCACGCCGAAAGACCAAGGGUUCCUGCGCAACGUUAAUCGACGCAGGGUUAGUCGGUUCCUAAGGCGAGGCUGAAAAGCGUAGUCGAUGGGAAACAGGUUAAUAUUCCUGUACUUCUGGUUACUGCGAUGGAGGGACGGAGAAGGCUAGGCCAGCUUGGCGUUGGUUGUCCAAGUUUAAGGUGGUAGGCUGAAAUCUUAGGUAAAUCCGGGGUUUCAAGGCCGAGAGCUGAUGACGAGUCGUCUUUUAGAUGACGAAGUGGUUGAUGCCAUGCUUCCAAGAAAAGCUUCUAAGCUUCAGGUAACCAGGAACCGUACCCCAAACCGACACAGGUGGUCGGGUAGAGAAUACCAAGGCGCUUGAGAGAACUCGGGUGAAGGAACUAGGCAAAAUGGCACCGUAACUUCGGGAGAAGGUGCGCCGGCUAGGGUGAAGGAUUUACUCCGUAAGCUCUGGCUGGUCGAAGAUACCAGGCCGCUGCGACUGUUUAUUAAAAACACAGCACUCUGCAAACACGAAAGUGGACGUAUAGGGUGUGACGCCUGCCCGGUGCCGGAAGGUUAAUUGAUGGGGUUAGCGCAAGCGAAGCUCUUGAUCGAAGCCCCGGUAAACGGCGGCCGUAACUAUAACGGUCCUAAGGUAGCGAAAUUCCUUGUCGGGUAAGUUCCGACCUGCACGAAUGGCGUAACGAUGGCGGCGCUGUCUCCACCCGAGACUCAGUGAAAUUGAAAUCGCUGUGAAGAUGCAGUGUAUCCGCGGCUAGACGGAGAGACCCCGUGAACCUUUACUGUAGCUUUGCACUGGACUUUGAGCCUGCUUGUGUAGGAUAGGUGGGAGGCUUUGAAGCGUGGACGCCAGUUCGCGUGGAGCCAUCCUUGAAAUACCACCCUGGCAUGCUUGAGGUUCUAACUCUGGUCCGUGAUCCGGAUCGAGGACAGUGUAUGGUGGGCAGUUUGACUGGGGCGGUCUCCUCCUAAAGAGUAACGGAGGAGUACGAAGGUGCGCUCAGACCGGUCGGAAAUCGGUCGCAGAGUAUAAAGGCAAAAGCGCGCUUGACUGCGAGACAGACACGUCGAGCAGGUACGAAAGUAGGUCUUAGUGAUCCGGUGGUUCUGUAUGGAAGGGCCAUCGCUCAACGGAUAAAAGGUACUCCGGGGAUAACAGGCUGAUACCGCCCAAGAGUUCAUAUCGACGGCGGUGUUUGGCACCUCGAUGUCGGCUCAUCACAUCCUGGGGCUGAAGCCGGUCCCAAGGGUAUGGCUGUUCGCCAUUUAAAGUGGUACGCGAGCUGGGUUUAGAACGUCGUGAGACAGUUCGGUCCCUAUCUGCCGUGGACGUUUGAGAUUUGAGAGGGGCUGCUCCUAGUACGAGAGGACCGGAGUGGACGAACCUCUGGUGUUCCGGUUGUCACGCCAGUGGCAUUGCCGGGUAGCUAUGUUCGGAAAAGAUAACCGCUGAAAGCAUCUAAGCGGGAAACUUGCCUCAAGAUGAGAUCUCACUGGGAACUUGAUUCCCCUGAAGGGCCGUCGAAGACUACGACGUUGAUAGGCUGGGUGUGUAAGCGUUGUGAGGCGUUGAGCUAACCAGUACUAAUUGCCCGUGAGGCUUGACCAUAUAACACCCAAACA
Molecule: ribosomal RNA, 2911 nt
Filed under: Pseudomonas aeruginosa
Lineage: Bacteria; Pseudomonadati; Pseudomonadota; Gammaproteobacteria; Pseudomonadales; Pseudomonadaceae
Description: 23S ribosomal RNA
Rfam family: Bacterial large subunit ribosomal RNA
Source: RNAcentral